RNAcentral lists this small nuclear RNA (102 nucleotides) under Caenorhabditis japonica. RNAcentral's name for it is "snRNA CJA48993". The record is from RNAcentral. Lineage: Eukaryota; Metazoa; Nematoda; Chromadorea; Rhabditida; Rhabditidae.
GGUUUAAUUACCCAAGUUUGAGGUAAACAUUGAAACUGACCCAAAGAAAUUUGGCGUUGGCUUAGGCUUAGGCUUAGGCUUAGGCUUAGGCUUAGGCUUAGG